Molecule: ribosomal RNA, 257 nt
Filed under: uncultured bacterium
Lineage: Bacteria
Description: partial 16S ribosomal RNA
Rfam family: Bacterial small subunit ribosomal RNA
Source: RNAcentral
UACGGAGGAUCCAAGCGUUAUCCGGAUUCACUGGGUUUAAAGGGUGCGUAGGUGGAAUGACAAGUCAGUGGUGAAAACCUGCAGCUUAACUGUAGAACUGCCAUUGAUACUGUUAUUCUUGAGUACAUUUGAUGUGAGUGGAAUGUGUCGUGUAGCGGUGAAAUGCUUAGAUAUGACACAGAACACCAAUUGCGAAGGCAGCUCACAAAACUGUAAACUUGACACUGAGGCACGAAAGCGUGGGGGAUCAAAACAGG